UACUUCACUUUCCUUCCAUGAUAGGCUGAGCUCAACGAGGAGUUGAUAUCACUGCCGCCAGGGGAAAGCAAAUGUGUCCAUCAAUCUCGAUCUGCCUCCUAAUGCAAGUCAAUGGUGUUGCCUUCUUAAGUAGCUCCCAUUAAUCAUUAUCAACAUCCAGCAGAAUGAGUCUGAAUUAACUCCCCAUCAACUCACCGGGAGGAAGAGGAGAUUGAUUAAUGUGGAGGUCAUAGCCCUAUCUAAUGUUAGCUUUGCAAUUGUACCUUUAGCAGGUGAAACUAAUAUUUAUACCGUAAAAUUAAACAAGGGAGAUGAUUUAGUCGAUCCAUUCAGACUUAAUCAAUAAUAUCAUGAUAUCUUGGACGAUUGGACAUGUGAAAAGAGCCCUAAUGGUCAAUGUGACAAGAUAUAUCUUAGAUGGUUACGAGAAAAUGGAAGUAGAAGUCGAUUCAGAAACAAAUAUGGUAA
Solanum stenotomum is the source of this 468-nucleotide long non-coding RNA. RefSeq lists it as uncharacterized. Lineage: Eukaryota; Viridiplantae; Streptophyta; Magnoliopsida; Solanales; Solanaceae. The transcript has 4 exons. The record is from RefSeq and is a predicted model, not a curated record.